AACGAACGCUGGCGGCGCGUUUUAAGCAUGCAAGUCGGACGGGAACUGGAGUGCUUGCACUCUGGGGAGAGUGGCGAACGGGUGAGUAACACGUAGGUGAUUUAUCCUUGGAUGGGGGAUAGCCCAUGGAAACGUGGGGUAAUACCGCAUGAGGUCUUAUACUUUAGGGUAUGGGAUGAAAGUUUCAACUGGAACGUCUGGGGAUGAGCCUGCGGCUCAUUAGCUAGUUGGUAGGGUAAAGGCCUACCAAGGCGACGAUGGGUAGCCGGCCUGAGAGGGUGGACGGCCACACUGGGACUGAGACACGGCCCAGACUCCUACGGGAGGCAGCAGCUAAGAAUCUUCCGCAAUGGGCGAAAGCCUGACGGAGCGACGCCGCGUGAGUGAAGAAGGCCGAGAGGUUGUAAAGCUCUUUUCUUGGUGAAGAAUAAGGUUAGGAGUGGAAAGUCUAACUGAUGACGUUAGCCAAGGAAUAAGCCCCGGCUAAUUACGUGCCAGCAGCCGCGGUAAUACGUAUGGGGCGAGCGUUGUUCGGAAUUAUUGGGCGUAAAGGGCGUGUAGGCGGCCUAGCAAGCCUGGUGUUAAGAUGCACAGCUUAACUGUGCAGGUGCGCUGGGAACUGUUAAGCUUGAGUCUAGGAGGGGAAGCUGGAAUUCCUGGUGUAGGGGUGAAAUCUGUAGAUAUCAGGAAGAACACCGGUGGCGAAGGCGAGCUUCUAGCCAUAGACUGACGCUGAGGCGCGAAAGCGUGGGGAGCGAACAGGAUUAGAUACCCUGGUAGUCCACGCUGUAAACGAUGUGCACUAGGUGUAGGUACCGGAGUAGGUAUCUGUGCCGCAGCAAACGCGGUAAGUGCACCGCCUGGGGAGUAUGCUCGCAAGGGUGAAACUCAAAGGAAUUGACGG
This 904-nucleotide ribosomal RNA is filed under the name uncultured bacterium. RNAcentral's name for it is "partial 16S rRNA". It matches the Rfam family "Bacterial small subunit ribosomal RNA", at positions 28 to 916 of the family's 1533-position model. The record is from RNAcentral.